UGGGUCUAUGGUGUAAUGGAUCGCACAAUCGGCUUCGGACCGGUUAAUCGGGGUUCGAAUCCUCGUAGGCCCAU
RNAcentral lists this transfer RNA (74 nucleotides) under subsurface metagenome. RNAcentral's name for it is "tRNA-Arg". It matches the Rfam family "tRNA". Rfam says of the family: Transfer RNA (tRNA) molecules are approximately 80 nucleotides in length. Their secondary structure includes four short double-helical elements and three loops (D, anti-codon, and T loops). The record is from RNAcentral.